Molecule: ribosomal RNA, 316 nt
Filed under: Lamproderma sauteri
Lineage: Eukaryota; Evosea; Eumycetozoa; Stemonitida; Stemonitidae
Description: bacterial SSU rRNA
Rfam family: Eukaryotic small subunit ribosomal RNA
Source: RNAcentral
UCUGAAUCUGCGAACGGCUCCGCAAACCAGUUGUAAACUAUAGCAAGCAAGCUCAGGGUUGGCCUUCACGGGCCGGCUCGGGGCGAUAUGGAUAACCCUGGUAAUUCUGAGGCUAAUACAUGAGUGUAAACCCUGGAGGACCGGCUUCGGCUGGGAAUCUGGGGGAUGUGCGAUUGCAGGCUUGGUAACACCGGGAAAGGGCGCACGUUCAGAUCACGCUAAAAAGGUCGGGCUCCUUCGGGGGCCUGCCCCAGUGACUCUUGCUGUGUGCUUCUGACCUAUCAACUAGACGGCAGCGUAAGGGACAUGCUAUGGU